GUCUUAAUAGGGCGACUAAGUCAGAUGCUGCAGACCCGAAACGAAGUGAUCUAUCCAUGGGCAGGUUGAAGCUGGUGUAAGAGCCAGUGGAGGACCGAACCGAUAGGCGUUGAAAAGCCUCCGGAUGACCUGUGGAUAGGGGUGAAAGGCCAAUCAAACUUCGUGAUAGCUGGUUCUCUCCGAAAUAUAUUUAGGUAUAGCCUCUAGAAGUAGCAUGUAGGGGUAGAGCACUGAAUGGGCUAGGGCUGCUCACCGCGGUACCAAACCCUAUCAAACUUCGAAUACUACAUGUGGAAUCUAGGGAGUCAGGCGUAGGGUGAUAAAAUCAUAUGUCGAGAGGGGAACAACCCAGACUAACAGCUAAGGUCCCAAAGUUACAUCUAAGUGGAAAACGAUGUGGAGUUACUGUGACAACCAGGAGGUUGGCUUAGAAGCAGCCAUCCUUUAAAGAAAGCGUAACAGCUCACUGGUCUAGUGAUUCUGCGCGGAAAAUAUAACGGGGCUAAGAUGUACACCGAAGCUUUAGAUUCAUAUUAUAUAUGAGUGGUAGGAGAGCGUUCUAUUCAGCGUAGAAGAUGUACCGGUAAGGAGCGUUGGAGCGGAUAGAAGUGAGCAUGCAGGCAUGAGUAGCGAUAAUUGAGGUGAGAAUCCUCAACGCCGAAAACCCAAGGUUUCCUACGCGAUGCUCGUCAUCGUAGGGUUAGUCGGGACCUAAGUCGAGUCCGAAAGGGGUAGACGAUGGUAAAUUGGUUAAUAUUCCAAUACCAGCAUAUAAGCGCGAUGUGGGGACGCAUAGAGUUAAUCGAGGUCACUGAUGGAAGUGUGGCUCGAAGGAAGUAGGUUGAUACUUAGGCAAAUCCGGGUAUCACGAGACCGAGAUCUUACAGGCCGAACAAUCUUUUAGGAGAGCGUUUGGAAUCGAUGAUACUGUCGUGCCAAGAAAAGCCACUAAGUAUAUUAUAUGUUGCCCGUACCGUAAACCGACACAGGUGGGUGGGAUGAGUAUUCUAAGGCGCGUGGAAGAACCCUGGUUAAGGAACUCUGCAAACUAGCACCGUAUCUUCGGUAUAAGGUGUGCCUCCUCUGGUAUAUGAACUUGCUUCAAAAAGCUAGAAAGGUUGCAACAAAGAGUCCCUCCCGACUGUUUACCAAAAACACAGCACUUUGCUAACACGUAAGUGGAUGUAUAAGGUGUGACGCCUGCCCGGUGCUCGAAGGUUAACUGAUGAUGUUAGAGCAAUCGAAGCAUUUGAUUGAAGCCCGAGUAAACGGCGGCCGUAACUAUAACGGUCCUAAGGUAGCGAAAUUCCUUGUCGGUUAAAUACCGACCUGCAUGAAUGGCGUAACGAGAUGGGAGCUGUCUCAACCAGGGAUCCAGUGAAAUUGUAGUGGAGGUGAAAAUUCCUCCUACCCGCGGAAAGACGGAAAGACCCCGUGCACCUUUACUACAGCUUGACACUGUAGCUUGGAUAUUCAUGUGCAGGAUAGGUGGGAGGCUAAGAUGACUAGACGCCAGUAGAGUCGGAGCCACCCUUGAGAUACCACCCUUGAAUAUUUGAGUUACUAACUAGGUAGAGUAAACCUCUACUAGGACAAUGUCUGGUGGGUA
Molecule: ribosomal RNA, 1609 nt
Filed under: Malaciobacter mytili
Lineage: Bacteria; Pseudomonadati; Campylobacterota; Epsilonproteobacteria; Campylobacterales; Arcobacteraceae
Description: bacterial LSU rRNA
Rfam family: Bacterial large subunit ribosomal RNA
Source: RNAcentral